UACGUAGGGUGCAAGCGUUAAUCGGAAUUACUGGGCGUAAAGCGUGCGCAGGCGGUUUUGUAAGUCUGUCGUGAAAUCCCCGGGCUCAACCUGGGAAUUGCGAUGGAGACUGCAAGGCUAGAAUCUGGCAGAGGGGGGUAGAAUUCCACGUGUGAGCAGUGAAAUGGCGUAGAGAUGUGGAGGAACACCGAUGGCGAAGGCAGCCCCCUGGGUCGAA
This 217-nucleotide ribosomal RNA is filed under the name uncultured bacterium. Its description in RNAcentral is "partial 16S ribosomal RNA". It matches the Rfam family "Bacterial small subunit ribosomal RNA", at positions 524 to 738 of the family's 1533-position model. The record is from RNAcentral.